Molecule: ribosomal RNA, 460 nt
Filed under: uncultured bacterium
Lineage: Bacteria
Description: partial 16S ribosomal RNA
Rfam family: Bacterial small subunit ribosomal RNA
Source: RNAcentral
CCUACGGGUGGCAGCAGUGAGGAAUAUUGGUCAAUGGACGAGAGACUGAACCAGCCAAGUAGCGUGAAGGAGGACUGUACAGUGUAUUGUAAACUUCUUUUAUCUGGGAAUAAAAUGUUCCACGUGUGGGCUUUUGUAUGUACCAUAUGAAUAAGCAUCGGCUAACUCCGUGCCAGCAGCCGCGGUAAUACGGAGGAUCCGAGCGUUAUCCGGAUUUAUUGGGUUUAAAGGGAGCGUAGGUGGAUUGUUAAGUCAGUUGUGAAAGUGUGCGGCUCAACCGUAAAAUUGCAAUUGAUACUGGCAGCCUUGAGUACAGUAGAGGUAGGCGGAAUGCGCGGUGUAGCGGUGAAAUGCUUAGAUAUCACGAAGAACUCCGAUUGCGAAGGCAGCUUACGAACCUGCCACUGACAUUGAUGCUCGAAAGUGUGGGUAUCAAACAGGAUUAGAUACCCGGGUAGUC